This is a non-coding RNA of Caenorhabditis elegans, 94 nucleotides long. The record is from Ensembl. NCBI's taxonomy places the organism in Eukaryota, Metazoa, Nematoda, Chromadorea, Rhabditida, Rhabditidae.
GUACUAUCCUUUAUUUAUAUUACAUUUUGUACAUAUCUUCUCAACGGGACUGAGGCCACCUCUGCCUAUGCAAACAAAAAUGGUUCUGGAUGAU